GAGACUCAUUGGUAACUUAUGUAGCUUUGGAAGACACUUUCUACAUGUUUUUACAUCAUCAAAUUAUAUGCCUAUGUGCAUUUACGAUGAUGUUUUUACAAACUUAAAUACCCAUUCCACUGAAACUAUGGAAUCCUCUUUUAUAUUCCAUGGUUUAAGAACUCUAAGUGGUUCAGGGGCAUAUAAACCUUCUGGGGAUGCAUUAGAGAAGAAUAGUUGUUCAGGGGCAUAUAAAUCUCCCACAUCUUGUAGCUCUGGUAUAAUUUUUUGUUACUUUUCAAUUUGAACCACAUUUUAACUAUUGUUUUAUAUUUUGGCAUUGUUAUUUUUUUUUUAAUUUGGAAUGUUUUAUUAUUUAUUAGUGGUAAUGACAUUGAAUACUAGAUGUAUUUAUUUUUAAAUUAAUUUGUUGGAUUGAAUGGAUAUUAAUUAAUAUUAUUUUUUUAUUUUUUGACAAUAUUCAUUUUUAUUAAUUAAUUAAAUUUGUAAUCAGGAAUUCAAAAAUAAAU
RNAcentral lists this long non-coding RNA (509 nucleotides) under Citrus sinensis (sweet orange). RNAcentral describes it as "long non-coding RNA (CSIN_LNC003069)". Lineage: Eukaryota; Viridiplantae; Streptophyta; Magnoliopsida; Sapindales; Rutaceae. The record is from RNAcentral.